Molecule: transfer RNA, 75 nt
Filed under: Mesorhizobium amorphae
Lineage: Bacteria; Pseudomonadati; Pseudomonadota; Alphaproteobacteria; Hyphomicrobiales; Phyllobacteriaceae
Description: tRNA-Gly
Rfam family: tRNA
About the family: Transfer RNA (tRNA) molecules are approximately 80 nucleotides in length.
Source: RNAcentral
GCGGGCGUAGCUCAGCGGUAGAGCGUCGGCUUCCCAAGCCGGAUGUCGUCGGUUCGAACCCGAUCGCCCGCUCCA